This 450-nucleotide ribosomal RNA is filed under the name uncultured bacterium. RNAcentral describes it as "bacterial SSU rRNA". It matches the Rfam family "Bacterial small subunit ribosomal RNA", at positions 29 to 524 of the family's 1533-position model. The record is from RNAcentral.
AACGAACGCUGGCGGCAUGCCUAACACAUGCAAGUCGAACGAGACCUUCGGGUCUAGUGGCGCACGGGUGCGUAACGCGUGGGAAUCUACCCUUGGGUUCGGAAUAACUCAGAGAAAUUUGAGCUAAUACCGGAUGAUGUCGCAAGACCAAAGAUUUAUCGCCCAAGGAUGAGCCCGCGUAGGAUUAGCUUGUUGGUGAGGUAAAAGCUCACCAAGGCGACGAUCCUUAGCUGGUCUGAGAGGAUGAUCAGCCACACUGGGACUGAGACACGGCCCAGACUCCUACGGGAGGCAGCAGUGGGGAAUAUUGGACAAUGGGCGAAAGCCUGAUCCAGCAAUGCCGCGUGAGUGAUGAAGGCCUUAGGGUUGUAAAGCUCUUUUACCCGGGAUGAUAAUGACAGUACCGGGAGAAUAAGCCCCGGCUAACUCUGUGCCAGCAGCCGCGGUAAU